GUUCUAGAAUGCAUGGCACAGGUCUCAGAAUAUGGUAAAUUGUGCCCUAAAUGGUAUAAGGCUUCAUUGAUAGAGAAAUAGAGAAGAUUUUGUUUUGAAGAAUCCAUAGUGAGAUACUUCCAGGGAAGUGUGAACAACUUUGCAAGAAAUAAAUAGAGGAGAACUUGAAAAGGAUUGCUCCUCUCACAUGGACCACACCAAGUACUCUUCCUAGGAGAAUGAAACAUCACUUAGGAGACUGAAUUGAGACGGAUUGAGAAUUCACUUUAUUAGAAGAAACACCUUCAUAUUUCUCAUUAGUAAAUCUAGACGGUGCUAUGCAGUCAUGAUCAUAUUCAUCUAGAUCUCACAUCUUUGCAAUUCAGGACCAAUGGGAUCCAUAAGUAUUACAUGAAUGUGUUCUAGUGGUAACUAUAAAGAAACACAAAUAAUUCGGGGCGCCUGGGUGGCCCAGCCAAUUGAGCGUCCGGCUUCAGCUCAUGUCAUGAUCUCACGGUUCGUGAGUUUGAGCCCUGCAUUGGGCUCUGUGCUGACAGCUC
This is a long non-coding RNA of Felis catus (domestic cat), 539 nucleotides long. RefSeq lists it as uncharacterized. NCBI's taxonomy places the organism in Eukaryota, Metazoa, Chordata, Mammalia, Carnivora, Felidae. The transcript has 3 exons. The record is from RefSeq and is a predicted model, not a curated record.